RNAcentral lists this ribosomal RNA (609 nucleotides) under Gambierdiscus carpenteri. Its description in RNAcentral is "partial large subunit ribosomal RNA". It matches the Rfam family "Eukaryotic large subunit ribosomal RNA", at positions 26 to 699 of the family's 3401-position model. Lineage: Eukaryota; Dinophyceae; Gonyaulacales; Pyrocystaceae. The record is from RNAcentral.
UGCUGAAUUUAAGCAUAUAAGUAGGCGGAGGAACUGUGACAAACAGGGGUUCACUGAGUAACUGCGAGUGACAUGUGAUUUGCUCACAGCUGAUAUUCUUUGCUGAAUGCUUUGACGUGAGGACUUUGAGUGUGGUGCCAAUGGUGUUGCAAGUGUGAGCCAUCUGGGAAAAGAGGAGAGUGUGCACUUACAAGGGUGAGAAGCCUUGCUUUGAGAAUCAUGCUCUUUGGAAGUGGAGUGUAAAGUGGGUGGUAGACUCUUCUCAAAGCUGAGUACAGAAGUGGGACAGACAGAGAAGAAGUACCAUGAGGGAAGUGUGAAAAGGACUUUGGACAGAGAUUGCGGCGUGUUUUCGGCUGUUUUUUGACUGUAUGAUCAUGGACAUGUGCCAUGGACACCUGACUACCCAUUGUGUAUCCUCUUGCGUCUGCCAUCAUGUUGGAGACUGUCAGUGUUUGAGUGCAGUGAUUGCUGUGCGUCUUGCGUUACAUCAGAUGUGCACUCAAAGAUCUGAGCAUGUUGAAAAGCGGUGCAGAAGGACCCUCCUGUCUGUAUGACCCGUCUUGAAACACGGACCAAGGAGUCUAGCAUGAGUGCAAGCUUAUGGGA